Molecule: ribosomal RNA, 450 nt
Filed under: uncultured bacterium
Lineage: Bacteria
Description: partial 16S ribosomal RNA
Rfam family: Bacterial small subunit ribosomal RNA
Source: RNAcentral
GUGGGGAAUAUUGGACAAUGGGCGAAAGCCUGAUCCAGCCAUGCCGCGUGUGUGAAGAAGGUCUUCGGAUUGUAAAGCACUUUAAGUUGGGAGGAAGGGCAGUAAGUUAAUACCUUGCUGUUUUGACGUUACCGACAGAAUAAGCACCGGCUAACUUCGUACCAGCAGCCGCGGUAAUACGAAGGGUGCAAGCGUUAAUCGGAAUUACUGGGCGUAAAGCGCGCGUAGGUGGUUUUGUAAGUUGGAGGUGAAAUCCCCGGGCUCAACCUGGGAACUGCCUCCAAAACUGCAUGACUAGAGUACGGUAGAGGGUAGUGGAAUUUCCUGUGUAGCGGUGAAAUGCGUAGAUAUAGGAAGGAACACCAGUGGCGAAGGCGACUACCUGGACUGAUACUGACACUGAGGUGCGAAAGCGUGGGGAGCAAACAGGAUUAGAAACCCUUGUAGUCC